UGGGGAAUAUUGCACAAUGGAGGAAACUCUGAUGCAGCGACGCCGCGUGAAUGAUGAAGGCCUUCGGGUCGUAAAAUUCUGUCCUUGGGGAAGAUAAUGACGGUACCCAAGGAGGAAGCCCCGGCUAACUACGUGCCAGCAGCCGCGGUAAUACGUAGGGGGCGAGCGUUGUCCGGAAUUAUUGGGCGUAAAGGGUUCGCAGGCGGUCUGAUAAGUCAGAUGUGAAAGGCUAUGGCUUAACCAUAGUAAGCAUUUGAAACUGUCAGACUUGAGUUAAGGAGAGGAAAGUGGAAUUCCUAGUGUAGCGGUGAAAUGCGUAGAUAUUAGGAGGAAUACCAGUGGCGAAGGCGACUUUCUGGACUUAUACUGACGCUGAGGAACGAAAGCGUGGGGAGCAAACAGG
This 403-nucleotide ribosomal RNA is filed under the name uncultured prokaryote. Its description in RNAcentral is "bacterial SSU rRNA". It matches the Rfam family "Bacterial small subunit ribosomal RNA", at positions 355 to 776 of the family's 1533-position model. RNAcentral also lists the same sequence under 1 other name. The record is from RNAcentral.